UCUCUAGUAGCUCAGUGGUAAGAGCGAACGGCUGUUAACCGUUAGGUCGUAGGUUCGAUCCCUACCUGGGGAG
RNAcentral lists this transfer RNA (73 nucleotides) under Sediminibacterium sp. RNAcentral describes it as "tRNA-Asn". It matches the Rfam family "tRNA". Rfam says of the family: Transfer RNA (tRNA) molecules are approximately 80 nucleotides in length. Their secondary structure includes four short double-helical elements and three loops (D, anti-codon, and T loops). The record is from RNAcentral. Lineage: Bacteria; Pseudomonadati; Bacteroidota; Chitinophagia; Chitinophagales; Chitinophagaceae.